UCAUAAGGCUCAUUGGACAGCUAGUCUGUGCCCAUCACAGGCAUCACAAAGGACUUUGCCUACCUUGUCAUUAAUUCCUAAGCAGCUGUGUGUUAGUACCCUCAUUUAACAGAUAAGCAAACCAGGCUCUAAAUGAAGUUACUUGGGCAAGAUCACACAGCUAGCAUAGAAUCAACCCAUUGUGGCUCACUUUGAUCCGAACACGCCUUGUAGUGACUUGCGGGGCAGGGCUGAGAGACUCGGUACCGGGGAGUCGCGGGAGUCGGGAACACACUGCCGAGCCGCCACCUGCCCUCCUGCCUGCACAUUUCCUUUGAGCAGAGCCUUUGAGGGCUGCGAAGCUGGAGGAGUUAGGGUAAGACAGUGAGGGCAGCGCUUAGCUAGUUAGGAGGUGAGAAUCUCCGCCACGCCAGGGUGGGAAGAAAGGGUCAAGUCUGAGGUGAGGAUGGAGAUAGGUCCUAGGUAUAGAAGAGGGUUCCAGGUCUGGUGUGAGAGUGGAGAGAGGAUCAAGAUGGGAGACAGAGAUCAAGAUCUGAAGUGAUGAGAAGGAUUCAUGUCUUAGAAAGGCUGAGGGGAGGUCCUGGGAGGAUGUGUGGGUCUUCAGUGAUGGAUUGGUUAAGACUAGAAUUGGAAAAGGGACCCAGGUCUGAAGAGGGGUGGGAUUGAGGCUGGGGUGAGAGAGGGAUCUAGGUCGGAGGUGGGGUGGGAACGGGAGCACUAAGACUGGUGGAGUCCGCACUGGCGAACGGACAGGUCUUAGUUAGCUGGGUGUCGCAGCUCCGGGUGCAGGAAUGGAACCGAUGCUUUCCUCACGGAGCAGGCACCGCCCUAAGGAAGUCUCCCGCCGGCCCGGGUCCGCGACUGCGCUCGCGACAACAGGACCGGGUCACCAUCCUCCCGCCUGGCCUCAGCUCCCUGAUCCUUCUCCGAGCGAGCGACGGACCGGCCUCUGCCCACCACACGUUCCUUGUGAAAGCAGGCCGUGGGCGGUGCCCGGGCUUCAGCCUUCCCAGAAGCCGCUUUUCCUGGGGCUCUUGAGUUGAGGAGAGCACUCCCUGCCGUUUCCCCCAAAGCAGGUGAUUAUGAAGUCUUCAUCAAUCUGAAAGGGGGUUCAAGACUGCAGGAAAACUCUGUCUUUACGGAGAGACGAGCGGAGUCUGGUUCCCACUAAGUGUGGUAUUGUCGCUGGUCCCUCGCCAGUUCUGCUCUUCAUUCAUCUUCUUCAAUUCUCCCCCCAAAGGGCAACUCAAUUGUGGGCUAAAUAAAACUUUAAUUUACAUUAUUAUGGAAUCAAAGCUACUGUUCACGGUGUCCCUGUGUAGUAUAACGCAGCGGUAUUUCCUUUACCAGCCUUUUGUUUUUCCCGGGAUCAGUUAUUAUGAAAUGUGGUUUAUUAAGCUUUCUAUGUACUCAUGAUCCAUUAAUGUCCCCUCUAAUGCGCUGUCCGAACUGUAAAUAUUCACAAUGUCUUCCUAAUACGAUCGUGACUGCGGAACGGUUGAAUAGGAAGCCAAUUGCACAACUGUUGUUCUAGGGUUUCUCUUCACUGUCGUCCUGGGAUUUCAGCUCUUGUGUGAGUCCCUUGUGAUCUGGAUUCUGUAUUUAUUUUUCCUUUAGUUUGGUAGGGCACAUUCUCCAGUAACUUUCUGAAAAGGGGUAAGAUGAUAAAAAAAAAUUAAAGAUCUUAA
This is a long non-coding RNA of Mus musculus (house mouse), 1688 nucleotides long. RefSeq annotates it as predicted gene, 30875. NCBI's taxonomy places the organism in Eukaryota, Metazoa, Chordata, Mammalia, Rodentia, Muridae. The transcript has 2 exons. The record is from RefSeq and is a predicted model, not a curated record.